This 465-nucleotide ribosomal RNA is filed under the name uncultured bacterium. RNAcentral's name for it is "partial 16S ribosomal RNA". It matches the Rfam family "Bacterial small subunit ribosomal RNA", at positions 28 to 507 of the family's 1533-position model. The record is from RNAcentral.
GACGAACGCUGGCGGCUUUCUUACCACCUGCAAGUCGAACUGCAAGGCCCUGCUUGCAGGGUACUCGAGUGGCGAACGGGUGAGUAACACGUGGGUGAUCUGCCCUGCACUUCGGGAUAAGCCUGGGAAACUGGGUCUAAUACCGGAUAGGAGCCAUUUUUAGUGUGAUGGUUGGACAGUUUUUUCGGUGUAGGAUGAGCUCGCGGCCUAUCAGCUUGUUGGUGGGGUAAUGGCCUACCAAGGCGGCGACGGGUAGCCGGCCUGAGAGGGUGGACGGCCACAUUGGGACUGAGAUACGGCCCAGACUCCUACGGGAGGCAGCAGUGGGGAAUAUUGCACAAUGGGCGCAAGCCUGAUGCAGCGACGCCGCGUGGGGGAUGACGGACGGCGGGGUGUAAACUCCUUUCGCUAGGGACGAAGCUUUUUGUGACGGUACCUAGAUAAGAAGCAAGGGCUAACUACGUG